UUCCUUUUCUUAGUUGCACUUUAAAGGACUAUCUACACACAUCAGUGCCGUAUCAAGUGCUAUCCGUGCGGCUCAGUGGUAACAACUCAUCCGUCUGUAGUCCGUACCGAUUCUGAUAUUUCUACGUACGUGAAAUAUCAGAACUUUUUAGAGAUGGCUUUUUUUACUGAUAAAGAAUUGGCUAUUAUUGCCAUAGAUCUGGAAGAGCAUAAAGCUUGGAUGAAACGAGAAACUGAAGGAGAAUUUAUAACUCUAUAUAAGGAAUUGGUGGACGAUGAAACAAUUUUUUUUGAAUAUUUCAGAAUGUCUCAAAAUUGUUUUAAUAUGUUGCUUCAUAAAAUACAGGGGUCGGCAUAAGUCAGGUAACUUUAAAAAUAGUGCGAACGCGGCAACGGUGUUUGCCUUACCGAAUUUGUGCGAUUUUUCUGUAUCGUUUUUUUUUUCUUUUUGUUUGGUAUGCAAAUUGGUUAACUGACUUAUGCCGACCUCUGAAGAAAGGCAUUUAAUAAAACAACACACUCAUUGGAGAAAAACUAAAUUAUUACACCAAGGGAACGAUUAGCAGUUUGUUUGAGGUUCCUAGCUACUGGAGAUUCUUUAAAAACUAUAUCAUUUAGUGACCGAAUGAGGCACUGUACGUUGCAAAACAUUGUAAUGGAAACUUGCAAAAUCAUAUUUGAAAAUCUUAUAAAUGAAAUGUUGCCGCAACCUUCAGAAGACAUGUGGAAAACUGUUGCUGACAGCUUUAACACAAUUUGGAAUUUCCUUAACUGUAAAAAUAGCGGCUCGCAAUUUUUUAAUUACAAAAAAACGUUUUCUAUUGUAUUGUUGGCACUUGUUGAUGCACAUUACAAUUUCGUAGCUGUAGAUGUUGGUGCGUAUGGCAAAAAUAGCGAUGGUGGCAUUUUUGCAAAAUCCAAUCUGGGAAAAGCAUUUCAAAAUAAUAGUUUAUCUGUCCCACAGCAUGCACCAUUACCAGGUACAGAUAUGGAGGCUCCUUAUGUAAUUGUAGGUGAUGGGGCAUUCCCUCUAAAUCACUCAUCUCAUGCGCCCAUAUCCAGGAAGAGAACUGAAUAAGCGCGUGUUUAACUACCGUUUAAGUAGAGCUCGGAGGACCGUUGAAAACGCUUUUGGGAUUUUAAUACAAACAUUUAGAAUCUUCACUAGAAGAAUCCAGGCUAAACCAGAAAAUGUAGAUUACAUAAUAUUGGCAGCUUGUAUUCUACAUAAUUUCAUAAAAAAAUAUGAUACAAAUACUUAUAAUUAUCCAAAUGCAAACUUCAAUAAUGUUCCGCAACAACAAGUACACCAAAAUCUACCUAUGCAGAGGGGAAAUGCCACUGCUGACGCAUUUCAAGCAAGAGAAUUGUUUACAGAAUACUUUUUUUCAGAAAUUGGACGCGUGCCAUGGCAAAACGAAAAAAUUUAAGUUCAUCAUUGUUUUUUGUGUCAUAUCCGACAUAACCUCUAAUCCAAAACCUACAUACUAAUUUUUAAUAUACGAAGUAUCCACUUA
Long non-coding RNA from Anthonomus grandis grandis, 1516 nucleotides. RefSeq lists it as uncharacterized. NCBI's taxonomy places the organism in Eukaryota, Metazoa, Arthropoda, Insecta, Coleoptera, Curculionidae. The transcript is spliced from 2 exons. The record is from RefSeq and is a predicted model, not a curated record.